RNAcentral lists this ribosomal RNA (439 nucleotides) under uncultured bacterium. Its description in RNAcentral is "partial 16S ribosomal RNA". It matches the Rfam family "Bacterial small subunit ribosomal RNA", at positions 338 to 795 of the family's 1533-position model. The record is from RNAcentral.
CCUACGGGAGGCAGCAGUGGGGAAUUUUGCGCAAUGGGGGAAACCCUGACGCAGCAACGCCGCGUGCGGGACGAAGGCCCUCUGGCUGUUAACCGCUUUCAGCAGGGAAGACAUCGACGGUACCUGCAGACUAUGCUCCGGCAAACUACGUGCCAGCCGCCGCGGUCCUACGUAGGGGGCGAGCGGUUACCGGAUUGAUUGGGCGUAAAGCGCGCGUAGGCGGCCGCCUAAGCGGAAGCGCAAAUCGCGGGGCUCAACCGCAGGCAGGGGUCGGGACGGGGGAGCUAGAGUGGGGGAGAGGAAGGCGGAAUGCGCGGUGUAGCGGUGAAAUGCACAGAUAUCAGGAAGAACAGCGAUGGCGAAGGCAGCACACCGGGGCGUAACUGACGCUGAGGCACGAAAGCGGGGGGAGCGAACAGGAGUAGAUACCCCAGUAGUC